RNAcentral lists this non-coding RNA (103 nucleotides) under Desulfamplus magnetovallimortis. RNAcentral's name for it is "TPP sequence". It matches the Rfam family "TPP riboswitch aptamer (THI element)". Rfam says of the family: Vitamin B(1) in its active form thiamin pyrophosphate (TPP) is an essential coenzyme that is synthesised by coupling of pyrimidine and thiazole moieties in bacteria. The previously detected thiamin-regulatory element, thi box was extended, resulting in a new, highly conserved RNA secondary structure, the THI element, which is widely distributed in eubacteria and also occurs in some archaea. Analysis of operon structures identified a large number of new candidate thiamin-regulated genes, mostly transporters, in various prokaryotic organisms. Lineage: Bacteria; Pseudomonadati; Thermodesulfobacteriota; Desulfobacteria; Desulfobacterales; Desulfobacteraceae. The record is from Rfam by way of RNAcentral.
AUUAGUGAAUGCGGGAGCUAAUAUAUCUGCUGAGAGGGGAGUAAAUCCCGACCGCUUGACCUGAUCCGGAUAAUGCCGGCGUAGGAAUUGAAUAUUGAUUAAA